CGCCCUUAGAGUUUGAUCAUGGCUCAGGAUGAACGCUGGCGGCGUGCCUAAUACAUGCAAGUCGAACGAAACUUCUUUAUCACCGAGUGCUUGCACUCACCGAUAAAGAGUUGAGUGGCGAACGGGUGAGUAACACGUGGGCAACCUGCCCAAAAGAGGGGGAUAACACUUGGAAACAGGUGCUAAUACCGCAUAACCAUAGUUACCGCAUGGUAACUAUGUAAAAGGUGGCUAUGCUACCGCUUUUGGAUGGGCCCGCGGCGCAUUAGCUAGUUGGUGGGGUAAAGGCUUACCAAGGCAAUGAUGCGUAGCCGAACUGAGAGGUUGAUCGGCCACAUUGGGACUGAGACACGGCCCAAACUCCUACGGGAGGCAGCGGUAGGGAAUCUUCCACAAUGGGCGAAAGCCUGAUGGAGCAACGCCGCGUGGGUGAAGAAGGUCUUCGGAUCGUAAAACCCUGUUGUUAGAGAAGAAAGUGCGUGAGAGUAACUGUUCACGUUUCGACGGUAUCUAACCAGAAAGCCACGGCUAACUACGUGCCAGCAGCCGCGGUAAUACGUAGGUGGCAAGCGUUAUCCGGAUUUAUUGGGCGUAAAGGGAACGCAGGCGGUCUUUUAAGUCUGAUGUGAAAGCCUUCGGCUUAACCGGAGUAGUGCAUUGGAAACUGGGAGACUUGAGUGCAGAAGAGGAGAGUGGAACUCCAUGUGUAGCGGUGAAAUGCGUAGAUAUAUGGAAGAACACCAGUGGCGAAAGCGGCUCUCUGGUCUGUAACUGACGCUGAGGUUCGAAAGCGUGGGUAGCAAACAGGAUUAGAUACCCU
This 820-nucleotide ribosomal RNA is filed under the name uncultured bacterium. Its description in RNAcentral is "bacterial SSU rRNA". It matches the Rfam family "Bacterial small subunit ribosomal RNA", at positions 1 to 788 of the family's 1533-position model. The record is from RNAcentral.